This 76-nucleotide transfer RNA is filed under the name Beauveria bassiana. RNAcentral's name for it is "tRNA-Asp". It matches the Rfam family "tRNA". From Rfam's summary of the family: Transfer RNA (tRNA) molecules are approximately 80 nucleotides in length. Their secondary structure includes four short double-helical elements and three loops (D, anti-codon, and T loops). The record is from RNAcentral. Lineage: Eukaryota; Fungi; Ascomycota; Sordariomycetes; Hypocreales; Cordycipitaceae.
AGAUCUAGUAACUUAAUAGGUAAAGGAUUUCCUUGUCACGGAAAUAGAUGUCGGUUCGAUGCUGAUCUAGGUCGAG